RNAcentral lists this ribosomal RNA (301 nucleotides) under uncultured bacterium. Its description in RNAcentral is "partial 16S ribosomal RNA". It matches the Rfam family "Bacterial small subunit ribosomal RNA", at positions 509 to 807 of the family's 1533-position model. The record is from RNAcentral.
CAGUCGCCGCGGUAAUACGAAGGGGGCUAGCGUUGUUCGGAAUUACUGGGCGUAAAGCGCACGUAGGCGGAUAUUUAAGUCAGGGGUGAAAUCCCAGAGCUCAACUCUGGAACUGCCUUUGAUACUGGGUAUCUUGAGUAUGGAAGAGGUGAGUGGAAUUCCGAGUGUAGAGGUGAAAUUCGUAGAUAUUCGGAGGAGCACCAGUGGCGAAGGCGGCUCACUGGUCCAUUACUGACGCUGAGGUGCGAAAGCGUGGGGAGCAAACAGGAUUAGAUACCCCCGUAGUCCCUGUCUCUUAUAC